GAAGAGAUUUUAUUUAGAAGGGUGCGAAUAGUCCCGCCACUCGUAGAAUUAUUUUCUUAUUUUUUCACCAAAUUGUUGGCAUUAGCGUUGGAGUGGAAUCCCCUUGUCAUAGAAGGCGACAGCCCCACACCCACCCCUUCUCCUUCGGUUCGAAGGAGAUGCUAUUUUUCAAUUUGUGGAUAUGCUUUCCAAAAUUAGGACCCGAAAAGAAAACUUGAAAGCCCAAUUCAAAACUUGUGCAAGAAGGACAUGUAAUUGACAUAUGCUGUUUCUUAUAUAUAUAUGUACAUAAGAGUCUGAACAUCAGCUGAGCCAGCGAUUGAUUGAAAAGCAAUUUUAAAUUUUCGGUCGGUAUUGCUUCCCUCAUCUUAUGGAUUUUCCUUCAAUUUAUUAUACAUUCACUUCAAUUGUGUUUCUGGGUGCUCGUUAUGUGUUUCUCUUUUAUGGUUUUGGUUGGCUUUUUUCUCUGUUUUUUUUUUUUUGAAGCUCUUAUUUUACUGCUUCCAAUGGUUAGUUUUGCUACUCUCUCCUGACAUAAAAUUAUUUGCUUGGAUAACUUAAUCUUUUGCUAUUUUGUUAUGUUCAUUUUAUAUAGAGCGAAUUCAUUGUAUCAAAUGUUAUCAUAAAUGAUGCUUGGGUAAUUUGAUUUAGCUUUUUUUUUUCCUUCUUUCAUAAUUUGCCUGUAGGUUAUCUUUAUUUUUUUUUUCUUUUUUCAAAUUUAUUUGAGUCU
This 730-nucleotide long non-coding RNA is filed under the name Citrus sinensis (sweet orange). RNAcentral's name for it is "long non-coding RNA (CSIN_LNC004172)". Lineage: Eukaryota; Viridiplantae; Streptophyta; Magnoliopsida; Sapindales; Rutaceae. The record is from RNAcentral.